AGCCCAACCAUCAACCAUUAUAUAUGUCAUAAAGAAAGUUGCUUUCAUUGGUAUUGAUACCCCAAUAUUUCGCGGUAUCUGGGUAGCUGAUUCGUGAAGGAACGCAUGAAGUUGCUGGAAAGCUGUCCCUGCUACUAUGCUCCCCAGGAAUACAUUGACCAACAUAAAAUAAUAGUAUUUUGCAGCUGUUCUCCUCUCAAGCACUGAUAAUGCCACAUGUCCCUCAAUCUUUGACAUAAACAUCAGUAUGGCAGGAAGAACAAACAAGAAUACUUUAAGAGCCAAACCAGGAAGAAAACCCUGUAGAAAUGACUUGAUAACCUUCCAUUCAAUAAGUGGCCUGAGGAAAGGUGCAACCUUUUCUAAA
Molecule: unclassified non-coding RNA, 367 nt
Filed under: Hevea brasiliensis (rubber tree)
Lineage: Eukaryota; Viridiplantae; Streptophyta; Magnoliopsida; Malpighiales; Euphorbiaceae
Source: RNAcentral